Molecule: ribosomal RNA, 333 nt
Filed under: uncultured Bacillota bacterium
Lineage: Bacteria; Bacillati; Bacillota
Description: bacterial SSU rRNA
Rfam family: Bacterial small subunit ribosomal RNA
Source: RNAcentral
GACGAACGCUGGCGGCGUGCUUAACACAUGCAAGUCGAACGGAGAUUUAGAGGAGCUUGCUCCUCGAAGAUCUUAGUGGCGGACGGGUGAGUAACACGUGGGCAAUCUGCCUCACACAGGGGGAUAACACUGGGAAACUAGUGCUAAUACCGCAUAACAUAACGAGGUGGCAUCACUUUGUUAUCAAAGGAGCAAUCCGGUGUGAGAUGAGCCCGCGUCCGAUUAGCUAGUUGGUGAGGUAACGGCUCACCAAGGCGACGAUCGGUAGCCGAACUGAGAGGUUGAUCGGCCACAUUGGGACUGAGACACGGCCCAGACUCCUACGGGUGGCAG